CGAAUGGCUCAUUAAAUCAGUUAUCGUUUAUUUGAUAGUACCUUACUACUUGGAUAACCGUGGUAAUUCUAGAGCUAAUACGUGCUAAAAAUCCCGACUCACGGAGGGAUGUAUUUAUUAGAUUAAAAACCAAUGCCCUUCGGGGCUCCUUGGUGAUUCAUAAUAACUUCUCGAAUCGCAUGGCCUUGUGCCGGCGAUGGUUCAUUCAAAUUUCUGCCCUAUCAACUUUCGAUGGCAGGGUCUUGGCCUGCCAUGGUUACAACGGGUAACGGAGGGUUAGGGCUCGACCCCGGAGAAGGAGCCUGAGAAACGGCUACUACAUCCAAGGAAGGCAGCAGGCGCGCAAAUUACCCAAUCCCGAUUCGGGGAGGUAGUGACAAUAAAUACUGAUACAGGGCUCUUUCGGGUCUUGUAAUUGGAAUGAGUACAAUUUAAAUCUUAACGAGGAACAAUUGGAGGGCAAGUCUGGUGCCAGCAGCCGCGGUAAUUCCAGCUCCAAUAGCGUAUAUUAAAGUUGUUGCAGUUAAAAAGCUCGUAGUUGAACCUUGGGCCUGGCUGGCCGGUCCGCCUCACCGCGUGCACUGGUUCGGCCGGGCCUUUCCCUCUGGGGAUCCCCAUGCCCUUCACUGGGUGUGGUGGGGAACCAGGACUUUUACUGUGAAAAAAUUAGAGUGUUCAAAGCAGGCCUAUGCUCGAAUA
RNAcentral lists this ribosomal RNA (699 nucleotides) under Diatrype mangrovei. RNAcentral describes it as "SSU rRNA". It matches the Rfam family "Eukaryotic small subunit ribosomal RNA", at positions 90 to 801 of the family's 1831-position model. Lineage: Eukaryota; Fungi; Ascomycota; Sordariomycetes; Xylariales; Diatrypaceae. The record is from RNAcentral.